Molecule: long non-coding RNA, 414 nt
Organism: Erigeron canadensis
Lineage: Eukaryota; Viridiplantae; Streptophyta; Magnoliopsida; Asterales; Asteraceae
Exons: 2
Source: RefSeq, a predicted model, not a curated record
ACACGCUUUAUUGCAUCAAUAUCACAACCCGAAGAUUAAUACAUCACCGAAUAUCUUCAAUUCUUCACAGAUGAUGGUUGAUCCAACGGCACCUAGGCGACCGCUUAGCAGAUCACAAGAAUGAACCUUACCAGGGCAAAUGGAAGCUAGGUCAUGCGGUUGGUGCCUCAACAGAUCAUGUAUCACCUUUCCACCCGAACGAAGCUCAGUGUACCCGAUUAACUUUCCUACCAAAGCCAUUUCUUUCGAUUAAUGAGAAGUAAGUCGAUCACUUGUUUAUUUGAAAGAGUUGGGUGGAAAAUGUACCAACGCCAUAACCCUCUUUUUAUAUAUAGUGGUGAUGCUAUACAUGUAACUUAACUGUUUUUAAUUAGUCAUGCAAAUUUUAUAUAAUUCACAGAAAGAUAAAUUAAA